UCACCCUCAUAAAAGGAUAAAGUAUCUCAGCAGAUAUCCAGGCUUAGGCAGUGAGCUUGAGAGUAAACUCACAAGCCUUAGUUAUCUACACCAAACACCCGGUGCACAGGGUAUCGUCUACAUAUUGUCAGUUAGUGUUCAUUAGCUUGUAAAUCUUGGGUUUGUGAGGCUUUAGCAAAGGUAAAAGCUGCCACAGAUAGAAAAGAGAUGUUUUAAAUACCAGUGCCAAGCACUUAGUAAUGGCAAAUGCAUCUUUGAAUCAGAUUUCACCUCUACUAAGCAAAUAAAUUAGAAAAAAGAAAUGCACCAGCAAAUCAGGAAAGAAAUCUCCUGCAUCUAUUUGAUCUGCAGAUGUGUGAGAAAGGGAAAAAAUACAUGUUGGAAGAUAUUAGCUUAUAUUUCAUUCAUUUUCAUAAUUCUUUUUGAAUGUUUAGAGCCAGAGUUCUUGGUUCUUUACUUGUGAAGUGUGCAGACACUGCGAUGAGAUGCCCUGACCCUAGACACAUGCAAGCUUCUGCUCAAGGAACUGUGCCAGUGUCUCUGUGGUCCUGCAAAAUCAUCUGCCCGCUCACCCCCAGGUGCUUAAAAAGAGCCCUACAGAGUGGCUGCCCAUCUUUAACUUAACAUGUACCACCAAGGAGCAGAGCAGUGACACUGCCCAACAAAAUGUUCAUAAUUACAUAUACUGCCAGGUCAGCAUGUCUGCUUCAGGGCCAGGGGAUGAGGGCUGCAGUGCUAUGAAGGCAACAAGAUCCAAAUAGGUGGGGACCUUGGGAAAAAUUAUUUCUGUGUCCUCGCAUGUGACUUCAACCCUCUCAGCUGCAUUACAGCUGUUCUGAGACUUUCCAAAGCAGAACAGAAAGAUCAGGCACUGAUUUCCACUCACUCCGAGCAGGAAUAGGUAACUGACUCCAGUCCCAUGGAACAGUCCAGCUGGGCUCUCACCUGUACCUGAGUCAAAGUGUAUAUAUUUUAUUUUCAGACCAGCUGCUGUCUUCUAAACUGCUUCUCUUCCCACACAAGCAUUAACAGCAAGUACUCCCCAAGGCCUGCUGAGAGAUGACACUGGCUGCCUAUACAUAGGAGCCUGCCCAGUAUCAGUACACUGGUCUGUCUUAUGUCUCUGUGGGAGUAGGUACCAGCUGAGUAUAGGAAGGUACGUAGGCCAUUAGAAGCUUCUCUCAUGUGUGAAGAUCAAUGUAAAAUAAAGCCCAACCUUUUCUUCCUGACAGCUGCUUGCAACACUCUACUUCAGAAAUUCACUACCAUGCAUUAAAGGAGCAUGAUCACUUUUUGGCUAGGGAAAUAGCCUUUUGGGAAGCAACUUUCCAUUUGGAAGAAGUCCCUAUUUUCCUGCAGAAACAUCAGAUUUAGUCCUCCCUCAUCCCAUUUGUUUUGUCAUUUUCUUAUCCCUUCUUUUCCAUUAGCCCACUCUAUUCAUCUCACUAGAAAAAUGGAAGAAGAGAGGAGGGAAGGAAGGAAGAAUGCAACCCUGAAUUUCAUAUGCAGAAAGUCCUUUAUUUCUAUUCAAUUUUUUAUAGUCAUUGGUCUUUCAGCUAUACUUCUCCGCUUCUGGCUAUACUGGUUCAAAAGUACAUUAUACCUUGAUCUUCUCCCCUUAUCAGUGCUUCCCUUCCAGCAAUUGAUUAAUUAUUUGUUUCCAAAACUCCAUCCAUAUAAAUGUCCUUCCUCCUUUUCAGCUCAUCACCAGCAGAAGCAUUUCGGCUAGCUGAACUGACAGUAAUGUAAUUCUGGUUGAAUAUGAAACAAAAAGGAGAAUCAUGCUCAACGAUUACAUGAAGCGAUACCUGCAUCCAAUAAUAUCUUGACAUACACAUAGAAGCCUACCUUGAACAGAUUAAAUAACGAAGAAGAAAGUCUUGUCUCUUUACUUAACAUCAUGAUUCCUCAGUUCUAGCACCACACAGUUAAUGAUCUGAUAUGAAGAAGUGUCUUCCUGACAUAUACUUAAAAGACAAAGCAAUGAAAAUAAACCCUGACUUCCCUAAACUUCAGCCUCUGAAGUCUGGUGGAAAACACUCUUUACAGAUGACCUUAAAGAGGUGGUUAUCCCAGCUUGUGGAAAAAAUAAUAAAAAAAAAAAAAAUUAAAAACAUCAACAUAGUAUUACUGUUCAUCAUAUUUAAAAGGUUUUUAUUACACCAUCUCAAGCCUUUCCCUUGCACUGGAUUAUUCCUGUAGGCCAAGUCUCUGUACUCUUCAUCUGACCUUCUAGACCUUACUUCUUUAGCAAACCAGCCACUGCUGCAGCCAACCAAGCUAGCAAUCUGCCCUGGUGAGCCAGAGUUCACUUGGGGAUCUAGCACCACUUUCCUGGUUUUAAAAGAGUCCCUGAAACCCUUUUCAUCUGUCAUCUUGCAAAGUUAGACUUGAGUAGGACACAGAGCGAGGUAUGACUGUGGUAGGCCUUUGCCGGCUGCUGCAGAGCAGUGCACGGAAAGUCAGCAGUUCCAUGUGUUUUCCUUCUGGCUUUCUCCACAAAUUUCAAACAGAGGCACUUGCAAGUAUAAUAUAUCCAGUCGGAUGAGUCAACAGACCUCGGUGAGCAGGGCCGUCAGCCUGCAGUGACAACAGGAUGGGACUGGCCGCAGGAGUGUGUCAGCGAGGGGUUACUCCUCAGCACAACGGCCACUGAAGUCACACGCUGAGAAUUUUGUUUAUAAAGUGAAUUCCGUAGGUAUAAGUCAUCAGGAGAAGAAAAAGCCCCACGGACAAUAUUAUAUAAUCCAGAUAAAUUUACUAAUAGGGGAUUUUCCAGUGGAAGAAACCUUACAUCAUGCUUAAGCAAGUAAAAAUAAACCUGGCACUUGUAUUUGUUCUAAACACAAGAAGAGCCUUGAUGAACUACUUGUUACAUUUUUUGGCUAAUUAUUAGUCAUGCUGAGCAUUGUGAUGUUGGUUGCAAAUUUAUUCCAUAACUGCAUCCUAACCUCAAUAUUGAAGUAGUGUAAGCUUUCAAAAUCACUUUCUUUGUAAGGCUCACUGUUUCCAGAGAACAAUACAUUUUCCUUUCCUAAUUAUUGCUGAUGUUUUAGCCAUUAUUGAACCUCUUAUGACCUUCUUCAGAGAAGAAAAUAAUACUGAGCUUUGAAACAAGUUACUUGUGAAGUAAAACUAAUCAAAUGUAAGGUUUGUAUAGCAAGACCUGACGCUCCCCCCCAUAUGCCAGAUACAUUUAAAAAUCUUUGUAGUUGGAAAAACAAUUACUUCCACUGAAUUUUGCAUCUGAACAUCACAAAUGAAAGAAGAUGUGGUUUAUGACAGAGUAAAAAAAAAAAAAACCAAACAACACAACCAACCAAAAACAAGCAAACAAACAAAACAACAACUAAAAAACAAACAAUGGAUCCAAAGUAUGACUGAAAUGACUGUGGUCCUAAGAGCAAAGCAAACACAGAAGAUGCAAAACCAGAUAUAUUGUCUGGA
This is a long non-coding RNA of Columba livia (rock pigeon), 3447 nucleotides long. RefSeq lists it as uncharacterized. The transcript has 3 exons. The record is from RefSeq and is a predicted model, not a curated record. Lineage: Eukaryota; Metazoa; Chordata; Aves; Columbiformes; Columbidae.